This 460-nucleotide ribosomal RNA is filed under the name uncultured bacterium. Its description in RNAcentral is "partial 16S ribosomal RNA". It matches the Rfam family "Bacterial small subunit ribosomal RNA", at positions 338 to 795 of the family's 1533-position model. The record is from RNAcentral.
CCUACGGGGGGCUGCAGUGAGGAAUAUUGGUCAAUGGACGAGAGUCUGAACCAGCCAAGUAGCGUGAAGGAUGACUGCCCUAUGGGUUGUAAACUUCGUUUAUAUGGGAAUAAAACGUUCCAUGUGUGGGAUUUUGUAUGUACCAUAUGAAUAAGGAUCGGCUAACUCCGUGCCAGCAGCCGCGGUAAUACGGAGGAUCCGAGCGUUAUCCGGAUUUAUUGGGUUUAAAGGGAGCGUAGGUGGAUUGUUAAGUCAGUUGUGAAAGUUUGUGGCUCAACCGUAAAAUUGCAGUUGAAACUGGCAGUCUUGAGUACAGUAGAGGUGGGCGGAAUUCGUGGUGUAGCGGUGAAAUGCUUAGAUAUCACGAAGAACUCCGAUUGCGAAGGCAGUUCACUGGACUGCAACUGACACUGAGGCUCGAAAGUGUGGGUAUCAAACAGGAUUAGAUACCCGUGUAGUC